Molecule: long non-coding RNA, 1039 nt
Filed under: Canis lupus dingo (dingo)
Lineage: Eukaryota; Metazoa; Chordata; Mammalia; Carnivora; Canidae
Description: lncRNA (ENSCAFG00020027441.1)
Source: RNAcentral
CGACGGCGGAAGUGGAGCUCGGGCCGCGCCGCCCGCCGCGAAAGCGUGGUUGGUUGCGGGUGCGGAGCAGUCCCGCGGGAGGGCGCGCCGGGUGCGAGGCCCUCCCCGGCCCUCCCCGGCCCUCCCCGCCCUGUGGAGGCUCCUCGCCGACCCCCGGUGCCCGCCCGUUUCCACGCACCCACUGGGCGCGAGGGGCGGAGGCCCAGCCCCGGCCACGCAUCGUCGAGAGGCCGCCGCGGGGCCGGGCCAAGCGGGCGGGCCCGCGCGUGCUCCGCGCCCCGCAGGUGUCCGAGGGUCCGCAGGUGUCCCGACUCCUCCCCACGUCGGGAUGGCCGUCACAAUCUCGGCGGGCGACGCGAGGACCUCCGAGGGAAGGGGCGAACGCAGAGAGACUGCGGUCCUCCGUGGGACUUGCCACCCGCCCUCGCAGGCCCCCGGGGCGGCCGCUUGGCUCCGACCGCGGGCGCAGGUCGUGGCGGGGCGACUUCCCGAAGUUGUGCGCGGCCAAGGGAUCGGUCUCCUCCAGGGCCCGUGUGUGCGGAGACGGCGAGCAUCGGCUGCAGAGCUCGGGGGAGGGACUCCGCCUUUUCAGAUCCGCUAGAGGGCAGGGCUACACCUGCUGAGCUCGACCGCUUCCGCCACCAAGAACCCGACGGCAGAAGUCCUCCCUUGUGUGCUAGAGGUAUUUUUCUCCAUUCACACUUUUUCUCAUUAAAAAAAACAACAGCAACAAGAACAAAAAAACUUGCCCCUUAUCUCAGAUCCUGUAACAUGUUCUCUGACCACAUGUUCGAUGUCAAAAUAGUGGUUAUUUCUUUUUUUUUUUUUUUUUUCAUGAUAGGCACACAGUGAGAGAGAGAGAGGCAGAGACACAGGCAGAGGGAGAAGCAGGCUCCAUGCACCGGGAGCCCGACGCGGGAUUCGAUCCUGGGUCUCCAGGAUCGCGCCCUGGGCCGAAGGCAGGCGCUAAACUGCUGCGCCACCCAGGGAUCCCUCAAUGUCAAAAUAAACAACCGAACCGAGUUACCUGUGUUGCCCA